This 924-nucleotide ribosomal RNA is filed under the name Aspergillus flavus. RNAcentral describes it as "partial large subunit ribosomal RNA". It matches the Rfam family "Eukaryotic large subunit ribosomal RNA", at positions 36 to 975 of the family's 3401-position model. Lineage: Eukaryota; Fungi; Ascomycota; Eurotiomycetes; Eurotiales; Aspergillaceae. The record is from RNAcentral.
AAGCAUAUCAAUAAGCGGAGGAAAAGAAACCAACCGGGAUUGCCUCAGUAACGGCGAGUGAAGCGGCAAGAGCUCAAAUUUGAAAGCUGGCUCCUUCGGGGUCCGCAUUGUAAUUUGCAGAGGAUGCUUCGGGUGCGGCCCCUGUCUAAGUGCCCUGGAACGGGCCGUCAGAGAGGGUGAGAAUCCCGUCUGGGAUGGGGUGUCCGCGCCCGUGUGAAGCUCCUUCGACGAGUCGAGUUGUUUGGGAAUGCAGCUCUAAAUGGGUGGUAAAUUUCAUCUAAAGCUAAAUACUGGCCGGAGACCGAUAGCGCACAAGUAGAGUGAUCGAAAGAUGAAAAGCACUUUGAAAAGAGAGUUAAAAAGCACGUGAAAUUGUUGAAAGGGAAGCGCUUGCGACCAGACUCGCCUCCAGGGUUCAGCCGGCAUUCGUGCCGGUGUACUUCCCUGGGGGCGGGCCAGCGUCGGUUUGGGCGGCCGGUCAAAGGCUCCCGGAAUGUAGUGCCCUCCGGGGCACCUUAUAGCCGGGAGUGCAAUGCGGCCAGCCUGGACCGAGGAACGCGCUUCGGCACGGACGCUGGCAUAAUGGUCGUAAACGACCCGUCUUGAAACACGGACCAAGGAGUCUAACAUCUACGCGAGUGUUCGGGUGUCAAACCCGUACGCGCAGUGAAAGCGAACGGAGGUGGGAGCCCCCUCGUGGGGCGCACCAUCGACCGAUCCUGAUGUCUUCGGAUGGAUUUGAGUAAGAGCGUAAAUGUGGGGACCCGAAAGAUGGUGAACUAUGCCUGAAUAGGGCGAAGCCAGAGGAAACUCUGGUGGAGGCUCGCAGCGGUUCUGACGUGCAAAUCGAUCGUCAAAUUUGGGUAUAGGGGCGAAAGACUAAUCGAACCAUCUAGUAGCUGGUUCCUGCCGAAGUUUCCCUCA